ACGCACGCUGGCGGCGUGCUUAAUACAUGCAGGUCGAACGGUGAAGCGCCUUCCUUUUUGGUGGGUGUGGAUGAGUGGCGAACGGGUGAGUAACACGUGAGUAACCUGCCCCCUUCUUCUGGAUAACCGCAUGAAAGUGUGGCUAAUACGGGAUAUUCUGGGUCUGUCGCAUGAUGGGUCUGGGAAAGAUAUUGUUUCGGUGGGGGAUGGGCUCGCGGCCUAUCAGCUUGUUGGUGGGGUGAUGGCCUACCAAGGCGGUGACGGGUAGCCGGCCUGAGAGGGUGGACGGUCACACUGGGACUGAGACACGGCCCAGACUCCUACGGGAGGCAGCAGUGGGGAAUAUUGCACAAUGGGCGCAAGCCUGAUGCAGCGACGCCGCGUGAGGGAUGGAGGCCUUCGGGUUGUGAACCUCUUUCGCCAGUGAAGCAGGCCUGCCUCGUUUGUGGGUGGGUUGACGGUAGCUGGAUAAGAAGCGCCGGCUAACUACGUG
RNAcentral lists this ribosomal RNA (493 nucleotides) under uncultured bacterium. RNAcentral's name for it is "partial 16S ribosomal RNA". It matches the Rfam family "Bacterial small subunit ribosomal RNA", at positions 29 to 507 of the family's 1533-position model. The record is from RNAcentral.